GGUAAAGCGAGUGCAAUACCGCCCCCGCUGCUCCGAUUCUCCGGCCAAACUCACACUCCAUCUUCCCCUCACUCGUGAACAAGACCCCGAGGUACUUGAACUCCUUCACUUGGGGUAAGGACACAUUCCCUACCUGGAGUAGGCAAUCCAUCGGUUUCCUGCUGAGAACCAUGGCCUCAGAUUUAGAGGUGCUAAUCCUCAUCCCGACCGCUUCACACUCGACUGCGAAACGCUCCAGUGAGAGUUGGAGGUCACAGACGGAAGAUGCCAUCAGGACCACAUCAUCUGCAAAAAGCAGCGAUGAGAUCCGCAGCCCCCCGAACUGUAGACCCUCCUCCCCCCGACUACGCCUCGAUAUCCUGUCCAUCCUGUCCAGACCACAAACAAGAUUGGUGACAAGGCGCAGCCCUGGCGAAGGCCAACCCCCACCGGAAACGCCUUCGACUUACUGCCGAGCACCCGAACACAGCUCUCGCUUUGGGCGUACAAGGAUUGGAUGGCCCCAAGCAAGGACCCCCUCACCCUGUACUCCCGCAGCACCUCCCACAGUAUCUCUCGGGGGACCCGGUCAUACGCCUUCUCCAAGUCCCCCCCCCGUCUCUGUCAAAUAAUCCCAAUCCAUGCCCAUCCUUCCAAUCCGUGCAGCACUUCGCCUCCACCCCGCCUCCCUCUUGCUGUCCCUCCAUCUCCCUCUAUCCCGUUUGCGUCUUUCUCUGUGCGUGUGGUUGUGUAUUAGUCUUGGUAUAGCAAUUGGAUCACCGUCCACUCACCCGUCCACACAUGUGUGUGCGCGCAGACGGAGGUGUGCAUGUGUUUGGCUGGGCCGCUGUGUUUGGGUCAAGGUCCUCUGUGCGCUCGCUCCUUUGACUCACUUCUCCAUCCAUAAAACUGCCACGAGCUCUGAAAUUCCAGAUGACAGCCAGCAAACGCUCAUUUUUUAAUUAGCAUUUUUUGAACACAUGUGCUGAUUAUUUCACAAAUAACACCGCCUCUCUUAAAUACUCUAAUACUUACUUCAUAGUUCUGGUGUUUUUCCAGUUCCCGUCACCCUCUCGUGUCCCUUGUGUUAGACAUGAGUCAGCAUAUAGCACAUGGAAGUGACGUGGUGAACAUGGUGCACAUUAUAACUGUUAAACAUCAGUAUGUUAAGCAGUGCCAUUGUGAGCAUGUUAGCAUGCUGAUUAUAAGCAUUUAGAUCAAGAGGUACUGUGCAGCUCACAAAUUCACUUGGCUGAAGACUCUGGUUUCUUGAUUAAAUCCGUUUAUAUUCUCAUGGCUUCUUUUGCUCAUUGGAAUUAGUUAAUUAUAAAAGGCCAUGUGUUGCUGCUGCUGUAAACUGCAGGCCUUAUAUACAAGUGUGCAACACACGGUAUUUAGUGGUUUGAAAAUGAUAAGGCACUUUUCGUCUUCCUUCCUUUUUAAAAUUCUGAGCCUGUAACAUAGAACAUUCAAAGACAUCAAGUACUGAGUACUUGUGUCUCCCCACAGAGCAAAUCUCUUCCUCGACUAUUCUUUUCUUUUGUUCUCCUGGUCUCCGCCAUGUCAACUGCUUUCACAAUCCCCCUGCCCGAGCCAUACUGGGCGAAGGGCCAGAGUUGAGCUUGGGAGCCGGUCUUUCUUCUACUUUUCACAACUCCAUCACAUUGAAGUGGUAGUCUUCACUACUUGCAUGUGGUCCUUAACGUAUUCAAGGCAGGCAAGAUCAUAUACAUUCAACGGUGUGUCAAAGGUUACCUGUGGCAGAAGAGUGACGUAGUAAUAAAAGCUUGCUGAUCCAAAUCAGUUUUGGGCAGAUAAGAGAAUCCCAAGUUUGAUUUUAAAUCCCUGUGUGACAGCUCAACCAAAAUCAACACCUACUGUUGACUCAUUUCUCUUAAUAUCCUCACUUUGUAAAACAGGGCUGGUCUCUCUCUUAUAACACACACUUGCAAAUAGAACAUCAGCUCCAUUUACCAAGAAGGGCCAGCAGAGGUUGUUCCCCCUGAGGCAGCUGAAGAAAUUCAAUUUGCCAAAGAUGAGGAUGGUCCACUUCUACACCUCCAUCAUAGUCCAUCCUCUGCUCCUCCAUCACCGUCUGGUACGCUGCAGCCACAGCCAAGGACAAGGGCAGGCUGCAGCGUGUCAUCCGCUCUGCAGAGAGGGCGAUCGGCUGCAAUCUGCCGUCCCUGCAGGACUUGUUUGCUUCCAGGACCCUAUUUGUGCCCCUUCCAUCUGGCAGGAGGCUGAGGUCCAUCAGGACUAAGACCUCCUGCCACACCAGUUUCUUCAAUUUCCUCCUAUGAAAUGUUUCUGACUUUGAUUCUGAAAAGUACUGUACUGUACUGUGCGCUGGACAGCGUGUGUGUUCCUACAAUGAAAGGAUCAUUAUUUAUUUUUUCAUCAAUUGUUUACAGCUAAGUGGUCCAUGAUGGAUGAAGUGUGCAGUGUUUUAUUUGUUCCCGAGUCAAGGUUGUAACACUGUUAGUGUAAUUGAGUCAUUUGUGCUCUGGCUGUGUGCGCCACAUCCAGGAACCAGCUAUUGUGUUUGUCUGUGUCCGUGUGUGUUUAGGUGAUACGAAUCAUAUGUGUGCGUGUCUAAGUCUGCAUCUAUAUCUAAACGUACAAGGAAGCACGUGUGUGUGUGUGUGUGUGUGUGUGUGUGUGUGUGUGUGUGUGUGUGUGUGUGCAUUUCUCAUCCCCCAGAUGUGCCAAGCAGGUGGCCACAUUGGUCUCUAGCAGGGGAGGCCACUCGCCGCAGAACGCGUACCAAUCCUCACGUGACGCCGCUCCUCUGACGACAGAAAGAGCACACACACAAAAAAGCGGCCUUUGUGUAUUCAAUCCAGUUUCGCCCUGUUUACCAUGAUGCCUCACCUCGGCUCUCCCACAGGUUCCCAGCAGUUUCCCGGGGAUGAAAGCGAGUGAAACCCCAGACUAGUGGGGCUCCACAGCCAAUUAGGAUUGUUUAUUUAGCCAGCCACGGCCGCCCAGCAGAACAGGAGCACACAGCCAACCACACAGCCAUGCGUUUGAAAUCUCUCACUCUCUCCUUCUCUCUCACUCUUUUUUUUCCACUCCUUUAAACUCCUCUGGCUCCAUCUCCCCUCUUGCCUCUCUCCAGCCUUUGCCUCAUUUCUCCAAGUUUUAUCACCCUCCAGUUAGAUGCAACCUCUCCAGGAUUCUCCAGAGGUCCCACGCCGAUAAUAGGUAUCAAUAACUCUGAGGUGAUUUGGUUUGUUUACUCGGCUGCUUCUUUUUUAUUUGCUGCUGCAUAAUCCGGUCCUCACAUACUUAAAACACACACGUACAUGUGCACACAGACUGGAUAAGUUAUUUUCUCUCUAACUCUCUGAUAUCCAUCCUCUGGUAACAUAAUAGUCUAGUUGUGGUCUGGCCUGUCAUACAUUGUUGAAUUUCCAAGUAGUCCAGCAGCUGCAUUUAUCCAAUCUGCCAUUGUUGGGCUCAGAUCAUGACAGUGCUGUGUUGUUUUUGGUGUUUUACUGGUUUGUGACCAGCAUAAAUCUGCAACCUUUUGUCUGAUGUUGUCAUGAUCCCACAAAACCCUCAUGUUCCCACACACACACACGCACACACACACACACACACACACACACACACACACACACACACAUAUAUAUAUAUACACACACACAUCACUUCGGCUAAUUAACUUCAUGUGAAGCAGUUAAUUAGCUGAACUAAUAUAAUGGUUUUAUCCACAAAGCAUGCAUUGAGUGCAGCUAGAAAUACCUGGACAUGGACAUGCCCGACAAUCUAGUACCAGAUAAUCAACCAACUCUGACAUUCUAAUAUUCUAUAAAGCUCGGUAAGAAUAGAAAAAGUCAAGACUAUUCCAUUCAGUCGUAUCUUUGCAUCCAUGUCAUCGUCUCAGCCACACCUUUAUGCUCCUGUCCAUUCAUGCAGUUAAACUAACGGCGAGAAAACAUACAAACUGACGACACGGAAGGCCCGGGCAGCGGGCGACAGUGCUGACCACUGCAUCCCUGCGCCACCCACCAUGCAAAUGACCUAAUCAAAUUAACCCAACCGUAUCACGAGUCCUGUCCUCAACCUCCAGACCUCAAUGGUCCAACAUCAAUGAUUAUCUCCUCCCACCACGAGGUUCCUCGACAUGCAAUCACUCAAAUAUAUAAUUUAUACAAGUGUGCUGACUAGCUGCACAGCUGAUGAGAAUGGGGAAACAGUCAAUAGGCUAUUUACGAGUGUGCCUCUGGCCGACCACUGCAAAAAAAAAAAAAGUACUUUGUCUUCGAAACUGGCGAGGCAGGCAGAUGAGCUGGUCGAGGCGGCGGAGCAGGACACUGGGCUUACAUACUGGAGGCGAGUAGAGGCAAUCAAGAAGAUCAUCAGCAGGUGGCAGGAAUUGCUUGAUGAUCUCAACUAGACCAGCUGACAACCAGGAGGGGGAGGGGAAAACACUCAAAAGACAGACAGACCCAACAGUUGCAUGUAAAGUGAUGUGAGUGCAUUAAUAUCAGAAUCAGAAUCAGAAACAUGUGUAUCAGAAACAAGUAUGUUGGACAUAUGAGGAAUUUGUCAUGGUCUGUGAAAGAAUCUUUGCUGUAAACAGCUGCCUGCUGCACCCGGAAAUCAAAACAGUGAGGUGAACUGCUAUGAUUUUCACAUGUUGAUAUUAGCCGCUAUGAGCAGAUGAAGAACACAUGUAUUCUGUGCAAUUUUCAAGCAUUACCGCAACAUUAACAAAGUCUUCACAUUAGCAAGUGACAGCAGUAUCUAAACAUUUUUGGUUUAGUAAAAAAAAUACUAAAUGCUAUAAAUAAACGCUUACCGGACAUAAGUAUGGCAUGUAGCUUUGGCAAGUUGCCAUUGUUUUGUUGGGGAAGAAUUUCCUGGUCUAAAUAUAGUGUGCGGAGAAGCGAAUCAUCUUUUUGGCUCAUAAACACAAGAUAGUGGAAACUUCCGGUGAGAGCUAUAAGUCAGGAACGCUUCCCACAAAUCCAGGUCUUAUUUGUGUGUGUGAGCUCAUGUUUUCUUACCUAAAAAAAGCUGUGACGUAACUCACUGUUUAUCGUCGACCUACUUACAGGGUUGAACAUGAACGGCCCAACAGAUAAAACUGUAUCUUCUUCACUGCACUUCCUCCUGCGUCUUGGGCUGCCGCCGCCAUCAAUAUUUCACAAUGUACACUGUAAAAACAUCACGUUGGCUCACAACAAGCACUCGUGUGUUUUGGACCUUUCACCUGUGACAUAGUUGGGCUCAUAUGGGAUGUCCAUAAUAAUAAUAUAUUAAUUAUAAAACUAAUUCCCCAUAGUUCCAGCAAAAGACAUAAAAUGAAUUACACACACUUAAUAAACAGUAAUACACACUCAUGGGAUCAAAUCAAUUGAGACAAUAAAUAAAAUAUAUACUGAUAAUAAAACAAGGAAACUGGGACCAUUCAAUGGGGAUUUAUAGGACAUGUGCUGUAAAGAAGGAGGAAAAUAAGUAAGGAAGACAAGUAGGUUGUUUGACGAGGAUUCACUCUGACGCCUGCCACAUUGGAUUGUUACCUCUUUGUGAAUAAGGAAAUAAUUGUGUGUUAAGGAAAGAAUGUGUUUUGAGGCAAAGGAGAAAGAGCUGUUUUAACAGGUUAAAGGUUUGGGGUAAAGCAACAUGAUUUAGAAUGAUAGAGGAAGAUUGCUGUAAUCAACCAGACGAGGAAGCCAUCUUAGCACGAGUAGACGCUUACAAACAACAAACAUUUUCCCACGUGGUCAAAUACCAUUUAGCCGGUUCAUUAUUCAGAUCCAGCGCUCACUGAGCCAACGUAAUGGCCGUAUAUUCCCUAGAAUAUGGCUGAGCAGGAUCAAUGUUCUGGCACAGCAUUUUUUCUGAAUGCCUCACAUUCAUUUUUUAACGCUAGAAAUCCUGAAAACUAUUCGGGUGCGUCGACUUGACCACAACAACGGAGCAGCAGGCCGAAAGUCGGAUGAGCCAGGAGAGGCAGUGGGGAUGAAAAAGGCUCUGAGGUUGCAGUGUAAUAAAGCCCGACGCCUGAGGGAGAGAACAAUCCUGGUGUCUUCAUCGCAUGAGCCGUUACGUAAGCAGCUGUUGGUACACAGACCGUGAUAAAACAUUGAUUCCGGUUUACCACAUUUGGUGAUUACCCUGACAAAUACAGGAAACGUGCUCCUUGCCUUUGCAUAUUCAGUAUUAGAAACACACUUGUGCCAAAAGUCAAGUUUGCAGUGAAAUUAUUAGUCGAUCUUCGUACAGAAUAUCUCAUGUGUUUGACACGGCAGGCGAAUCGAAAUGAUCAUGUCUGACAUUAGAUAUCUGAUCUCUCUUUAUCUUUAUUGUGGGUGUUUACUUGAUAUUGCACUUUGCGCGGGCCGCCGAGUGACUCGCACUAAUUAAAUUGUGAUCUCCCAGCAGGCUUUUAUUGAGUGGCCAUAUGGACUUAGUAGUUAAAAAAAAAAAAUCAUUGAGCUGGAAUGCGGAGCAGCUAGAAACUUUCAGGAUGCUUUAAAGAGUUACAACAAAAGAAGCUUGAACUCAACUCCCUCUGAAUGUGGGUGAAAAAGUCAUCACUGGCAUGAACAUUAGGCAGGAUCACGUUGCUUAUCGGACACAGAGCCUCCCCAAUAUAGACACAACAUACACCUGCACUGACAAGGCUUUAAAUGCAACACAUAUUCACUGUUAGUUUCCAAAUAACAGCUCUAGUAUCAGGCUUCACUUUCCAUCAGGCUUUAUUUAAUUAAAUGCUGGUUGGUUUAUUAUUUCUAAUAUGAUAAUAUGCUAUUUACAGAAAAAGCCAGUAUGCCUGUUAAAAGUAGAAAUUUUAUAUUCAUUGUAUUUGGAUAUUUGCUAACCAGAAUACAUUUAACUGAUGACUGACUGGAACAUGCAGUUGCAUUAUUAAGUCAAUCUACAGUUAAACAUUAACAAAACAUUUUCCCCUUGAGGAAUUACUUGCAUGUGGUUUGAAGUGAAAAAGAUAAAACAUACUAUGAUAAUCUUUUUAUAAGAGCUUUUAUAUGCUGCUUCUUGUACAUUUCUAUGUGAUUCAGGCCCAACCCCCCCUUCCCACAUGCAGGGGGGGGCGUGGUGUCGGACUGCAAUCGAUUCAAGGACAUGUCCUCAACCAUGUCUACAAUGGCGAUGACUACAGCCCACUGCAGUAUGCUGCCUUAUGAACGGGAACAGCAGGGCACCUACAUACACAUCUGCUGCAUGUACAUAUACACAGCACAUGCAAUAUAUAUAUAUAUCUGUCAACAUCUGGUUAAAAAUUUAGUUUCCAUCACAAAUGCCUUUAUUAACCAUUGUUUUACCAAAAUAUAAGAGUACAAAUACAUGUAUUUUAGACAUGCAAACAUGGUUCACUUCGAAAGAGAAAACAAAAGACAGCACGUAUUAUAGAUGAACAGACAAAUGACUUCAGAUGUUACAGACGGUUGCAUAGGAUUUACAAAACCAAAAGACUUAACAGUCAAUUCAGUACCAAAGAAUGGUUGAGACUAAUUUAGGCUUCCCAAAUUGACAGAAAAAAGCAGUAAAACAUUACACAUAAUGGAAACCAUCUUUCAUACAUAUAUAU
Gasterosteus aculeatus aculeatus (three-spined stickleback) is the source of this 7546-nucleotide long non-coding RNA. The record is from Ensembl. Lineage: Eukaryota; Metazoa; Chordata; Actinopteri; Perciformes; Gasterosteidae.